GCCUGUUUAGCUCAGUUGGUUAGAGCAUCUGUCUCAUACGCGGAUUGCCGCUAGUUCGAAUCUAGCAACAGGCA
Molecule: transfer RNA, 74 nt
Filed under: Scherffelia dubia
Lineage: Eukaryota; Viridiplantae; Chlorophyta; Chlorodendrophyceae; Chlorodendrales; Chlorodendraceae
Description: tRNA-Met
Rfam family: tRNA
About the family: Transfer RNA (tRNA) molecules are approximately 80 nucleotides in length. Their secondary structure includes four short double-helical elements and three loops (D, anti-codon, and T loops). Further hydrogen bonds mediate the characteristic L-shaped molecular structure. tRNAs have two regions of fundamental functional importance: the anti-codon, which is responsible for specific mRNA codon recognition, and the 3' end, to which the tRNAs corresponding amino acid is attached (by aminoacyl-tRNA synthetases). tRNAs cope with the degeneracy of the genetic code in two manners: having more than one tRNA (with a specific anti-codon) for a particular amino acid; and 'wobble' base-pairing, i.e. permitting non-standard base-pairing at the 3rd anti-codon position.
Source: RNAcentral